UACGUAGGUGGCAAGCGUUGUCCGGAUUUACUGGGCGUAAAGAGCGCGCAGGCGGUCGUUCAAGUCGAGUGUGAAAGCCCCCGGCUCAACUGGGGAGGGUCAUUCGAUACUGAUCGACUCGAAGGCAGGAGAGGGAAGUGGAAUUCCCGGUGUAGUGGUGAAAUGCGUAGAUAUCGGGAGGAACACCAGUGGCGAAGGCGACUUCCUGGCCUGUUCUUGACGCUGAGGCGCAAAAGCUAGGGGAGCAAACGGG
RNAcentral lists this ribosomal RNA (253 nucleotides) under uncultured bacterium. Its description in RNAcentral is "partial 16S ribosomal RNA". It matches the Rfam family "Bacterial small subunit ribosomal RNA", at positions 524 to 776 of the family's 1533-position model. The record is from RNAcentral.